GCUGGUGCAGGUGAAAGAAUAGCUUAUGGGGCUGGAGUCAAAGGAGCUUUCAUAGACAUAGAAAUCAUAAUAGAAAGAGCAGGCCUGCGAGCAGCGAGUGCCCUUUGUAAGUUGCGAGCCUGCCUUACCGCCCCCCCCCCUUUCUUUUUUGAAUUAGAAAGAAGGGGAUGA
This 171-nucleotide ribosomal RNA is filed under the name Triticum aestivum (bread wheat). RNAcentral describes it as "partial small subunit ribosomal RNA". Lineage: Eukaryota; Viridiplantae; Streptophyta; Magnoliopsida; Poales; Poaceae. The record is from RNAcentral.